AGCUCCAAUAGCGUAUAUUAAAGUUGCUGCAGUUAAAAAGCUCGUAGUUGCAUUUCCGAGGCAAGGGAUUAGUCCGACCUUUGGUGGGUAUUUAAUCCUCUUGCCUCGUCCUUGAGUGGUGCUUCUUGGUAUUAAGUUAUCGAGGAGAUAGCCGCUCAUCGUUUACUGUGAGAAAAUUAGAGUGUUCAAAGCAGGCUUAUGCCGUUGAAUAUAUUAGCAUGGAAUAAUAAGAUAGUACCUCGGUACUAUUUUGGUGGUUUGAGAACCAAGGUAAUGAUGAAUAGGGACAGUUGGGGGUAUUCGUAUUCAGUUGUCAGAGGUGAAAUUCUUAGAUUUACGGAAGACGAACUACUGCGAAAGCAUUUACCAAGGAUGUUUUCA
This 381-nucleotide ribosomal RNA is filed under the name uncultured marine Chaetocerotaceae. RNAcentral's name for it is "SSU rRNA". It matches the Rfam family "Eukaryotic small subunit ribosomal RNA", at positions 587 to 972 of the family's 1831-position model. The record is from RNAcentral. Lineage: Eukaryota; Bacillariophyta; Thalassiosirophyceae; Chaetocerotales; Chaetocerotaceae.